AGAGCACUCACUGGGUUUAUACAAAAUGUGUAUUAAAUUUUAGACAAAAUACAUCUGUAUUUUGUCUAAAAUUUAAUACACAUUUUGUAUAAACCCAGUGAGUGCUCU
Pelobates cultripes (western spadefoot toad) is the source of this 108-nucleotide non-coding RNA. Lineage: Eukaryota; Metazoa; Chordata; Amphibia; Anura; Pelobatidae. The record is from the annotation of a GenBank genome assembly.